This 74-nucleotide transfer RNA is filed under the name Camelus bactrianus (Bactrian camel). It matches the Rfam family "tRNA". From Rfam's summary of the family: Transfer RNA (tRNA) molecules are approximately 80 nucleotides in length. Their secondary structure includes four short double-helical elements and three loops (D, anti-codon, and T loops). RNAcentral also lists the same sequence under 1 other name. Lineage: Eukaryota; Metazoa; Chordata; Mammalia; Artiodactyla; Camelidae. The record is from Rfam by way of RNAcentral.
GGAGAUAUAGCCCAGUGGUAGAGAGUGUGUGCUCAGCAUGCAUGAGGUCCUGGGUUCAAUUCCCAGUACCUCCA